Molecule: ribosomal RNA, 253 nt
Filed under: uncultured bacterium
Lineage: Bacteria
Description: partial 16S ribosomal RNA
Rfam family: Bacterial small subunit ribosomal RNA
Source: RNAcentral
UACGUAGGGUGCGAGCGUUAAUCGGAAUUACUGGGCGUAAAGCGUGCGCAGGCGGUUCGUUGUGUCGGCGGUGAAAGCCCCGGGCUUAACCUGGGAAUGGCCGUCGAAACUGGCGAACUGGAGUGUGGCAGAGGGGGGUGGAAUUCCGCGUGUAGCAGUGAAAUGCGUAGAGAUGCGGAGGAACACCGAUGGCGAAGGCAGCCCCCUGGGCUGACACUGACGCUCAGGCACGAAAGCGUGGGGAGCGAACGGG